CCUACGGGAGGCAGCAGUGAGGAAUAUUGGUCAAUGGCCGCAGGGCUGAACCAGCCAAGUCGCGUGAGGGAUGACGGUCCUAUGGAUUGUAAACCUCUUUUGUCAGGGAGCAAAGGGCGCCACGUGUGGCGCUUUGCGAGUACCUGAAGAAAAAGCAUAGGCUAACUCCGUGCCAGCAGCCGCGGUAAUACGGGGGAUGCGAGCGUUAUCCGGAUUUAUUGGGUUUAAAGGGUGCGCAGGAGGAAUGUCAAGUCAGCGGUAAAAUUUCGGGGCUCACCCCCGUCGUGCCGUUGAAACUGGCGUUCUUGAGUGAGCGAGAAGUAUGCGGAAUGCGUGGUGUAGCGGUGAAAUGCAUAGAUAUCACGAAGAACUCCGAUUGCGAAGGCAGCAUACCGGCGCUCAACUGACGCUCAUGCACGAAAGCGUGGGUAUCGAACAGGAUUAGAUACCCGUGUAGUC
Molecule: ribosomal RNA, 459 nt
Filed under: uncultured bacterium
Lineage: Bacteria
Description: partial 16S ribosomal RNA
Rfam family: Bacterial small subunit ribosomal RNA
Source: RNAcentral